This 74-nucleotide transfer RNA is filed under the name Phycisphaerae bacterium. RNAcentral describes it as "tRNA-Val". It matches the Rfam family "tRNA". From Rfam's summary of the family: Transfer RNA (tRNA) molecules are approximately 80 nucleotides in length. Their secondary structure includes four short double-helical elements and three loops (D, anti-codon, and T loops). The record is from RNAcentral. RNAcentral also lists the same sequence under 3 other names. Lineage: Bacteria; Pseudomonadati; Planctomycetota; Phycisphaerae.
GGGCGAUUAGCUCAGCUGGCUAGAGCGCUGCCGUCACAUGGCAGAGGUCGUUGGUUCGAGUCCAAUAUCGCCCA